Oryctolagus cuniculus (rabbit) is the source of this 1981-nucleotide long non-coding RNA. The record is from Ensembl. Lineage: Eukaryota; Metazoa; Chordata; Mammalia; Lagomorpha; Leporidae.
AUGGAUUGUGAGCAUUUCCUUGCUCUGCUCUUAAGACUCCUGUGUUUGAUACUGUGUGAACAAUCAAGCUUGUUAAGAAAAAAAUUUGCAUACAGUAAGAUCUACCCUUCUAGUGAAUGCAGUUUAAUGGAUUUUGUCAAACACAAUCAAAAUAGAGACUAUUUCCCUAACCUCAAUAGGUUCUUCAAUGCCUUUUUUAGUCAAUAUCCUGCCGUCAACCUCAGCCCUUGGCAAUCAUGGAUCCAGUUUCUAUCUUUAUAAUUUUGCCUCUUCCAGUGGAAUAUAAACUAUACUAUUUUUGUGUCUGGCUUCUUUGAUAUUAUAUAAUGCUUUUGGGACUUAUCCCUCUUUAAUAUAUAAAUGGUUCAUUAAUUUUUAUUUGAGUGGUACUUUUUGAAUAGUUAUAUAAUAAUUUAUUCAUUCACCAGUUACUAGACAUUUUGAUUGGUUAAAAUUUUUGGCUGUUAUAAACAAAAUUGCUGAAAACACUUAUACAAGUCUCUUUGUAAACAUGUUUUUAAUUUAUCUUGAGUAAAUAUGAUUGUAUUUCUGGUUCAUAAAUUAAGUGCAUAUUUUCUAAAGCAGAUACACAAUUGUGUAUUUCCACCAGUAAUGAGUAAGAAUCCAGGCUUUCACAUUCUCAGUAUCAUUUUAUAUAACCAUUUGAAAAAAUUUUAUCAUCCUAAUAGGAGUGUGUUAUGGACUGAAUUGUAUUUCUAAAAUUUAUACAUUGCAGUCCUAACCCUUACUAAUGAGAAAUAUUAUCUUUUGAGUUAGGGUCUUUACAGAGGUAGCCACAUUAAAAUGAGCUCACUGUGGUAGGUUCUAAUUCACUAUGACUUAUGUACUUAUAAAAACAAGAGAUUAGAACAUGAACAGUUACUGAAAGAAGACUGUGAAUUCAAGGAGUCUUCAAAAUAUUCAUAGAGAAUUGUAGAAAAACUACAUGUUGAUUUAAAAAUUCUUUUACAGAAAAUGAACUUUUCUUUUUCCAUUUUCCACAAAUUUUUUGAAAUUACCUUGCACAUAAGGAAAGAAUGGCAAUUAACAAGCCAAAGAGAAACCACAGAAGGAAACUAAUUCAUCAAUACCUUGAUCCUGUACUUCUAGCCUUCCAAAAUACAAGGAAUUAGAUUUCUGUGGUGUAUGGCACCCAGUCUGUGGUAUUUUGUUAUGACAGCCAGAAUAAUACAGUAUGUGAAGGUAUCUUAUUAAUUUAUAUUUUUUUAUCCUUAGUGACUAUUAAUGUUAAAUAUUUUUGUUUUUUUAUUUGCCAUUUGUUUUUAUUUUUUGGUAAAAUAUCUGUUCAAUUUUGCCUAUUUGUCUUUCUGCAUUAUUGGUCUUAUUAGUGAUUUUUUAAAACUGUUCUUUACAUAUUCUGGAUACAAGUUCUUUUUUAGGUAUGUUCUUUACAAAUCCGCACCAACCAUUUGUCUUUUUAUUUUCUCAACAAUGUCUCUUGAAAAAAAGAGCUUCAAAUUUUGAUAAAUUAAAUUUACUUUUUUUUUUUUUUUUUUUGCCAGGCAGAGUUAGACAGUGAGAGAGAGAGAGAGACAGGGAGAGUUAUAGAUAAUGAGAGAGAGACAGAGAGGUCUUCUUUCCAUUGGUUCACUCACCUAAUGGCUGCUACGCCGAUCUGAAGCCAGGUGUUCCUUCCCGGUCUCCCAUGCAGGUGCAGGACCCAAGCACUUGGGCCAUCCUCCACUGCUCUCCAAGGCCACAGCAGAGAGCUGGACUAGAAGAGGAGCAACUGGGACAGAAUCUGGUGCCCCAACCAGGACUACAAGCCAGGGUGCUGGCGCUGUAGGCGGAGGAUUAGCCAAGUAAGCCACAGGCGCCGGCCUUGUUUGGGUUUUUUUAUAAACUCAUUGAAGUAUUGAAACAAACAGUAUGCAUUUAAAGUUUGACUAUGAUAAUUUGUGACAUUUUCUCCUUUGAAGUAAUCACCACUGUCAAGUUAAUAAACAUUUCUAUUAUUCCA